GAAGUGGUAGCUCAACUGGAAGAGCGCUCGACAGCCAAUCGGGAGGUUGUGAGUUCAAGUCUCACCCCUUCCA
RNAcentral lists this transfer RNA (73 nucleotides) under Cylindrospermum stagnale PCC 7417. It matches the Rfam family "tRNA". From Rfam's summary of the family: Transfer RNA (tRNA) molecules are approximately 80 nucleotides in length. Their secondary structure includes four short double-helical elements and three loops (D, anti-codon, and T loops). Further hydrogen bonds mediate the characteristic L-shaped molecular structure. tRNAs have two regions of fundamental functional importance: the anti-codon, which is responsible for specific mRNA codon recognition, and the 3' end, to which the tRNAs corresponding amino acid is attached (by aminoacyl-tRNA synthetases). tRNAs cope with the degeneracy of the genetic code in two manners: having more than one tRNA (with a specific anti-codon) for a particular amino acid; and 'wobble' base-pairing, i.e. permitting non-standard base-pairing at the 3rd anti-codon position. The record is from Rfam by way of RNAcentral. Lineage: Bacteria; Bacillati; Cyanobacteriota; Cyanophyceae; Nostocales; Nostocaceae.